Ictalurus punctatus (channel catfish) is the source of this 727-nucleotide long non-coding RNA. Lineage: Eukaryota; Metazoa; Chordata; Actinopteri; Siluriformes; Ictaluridae. The record is from Ensembl.
UGUCGAUGCAGUUGUUCCUACUGUUGUUGGUUCUGUUCUUGUUGGAGCCUGUGUAGUUGAUUCUGUGGUAGGGGUUAGUUCUGUUGUUGCUGCUGUAGUUAAUGUUGUACUUGGAGCUGUAGUUGUUGCUUCCUCAGUUGGAGCUGGAGUAGUUGUAGAUGCAGUUGUUGGUACUGUUGUUGGUUCUGUGCUUGUUGUAGCCUGUGAAGUUGAUUCUGUGGUAGUGGUUAGUUCUGUUGUUGCUGCUGUAGAUGAUGUUGUACUUGGAGCUGUAGUUGUUUCCCCUCUAGUUGUUGCUUCCUCAGUUGGAGUAGUUGGACCUGGAGUAGUUGUAGAUGCGGUUGUUCCUUCUGUUGUUGGUUCUCCACUUGUUGUAACCUGUGUAGUUGAUAGUUCUGUAGUUGUUAUUGUUGUCAGUACAUUUGUACUUGUAGUUUCCUCUGUAGUACUUGGUUCCUGAGUUGUAGUGGUUGGGGCUACAGUUGUUGUAGAUGCUGUUGUUGGUACUGUUGUUGGUUCUGUGCUUGUUGUAGCCUGUGUAGUUGAUUCUGUGGUAGUGGUUAGUUCUGUUGUUGCUGCUGUAGUUAAUGUUGUACUUAGAGCUGUAGUUGUUUCCUCUGUAGUUGUUGCUUCCUCAUUGUUUGCUUCCUCAGUUGGAGUAGUUGGAGCUGGAGUAGUUGUAGAUGCAGUUGUUCCUACUGUUGUUGGUUCUGUGCUUGUUGUAGCU